AGUAUCGUUUGUAAUGUACCUACUACCUAACUAGAGAUACAACUAUCGCAUGUGUUUUUUUAAGCGAAAAAAUCGAAUGCCGGAAAUCCCGGAAAUGCCGGAAAUGCCGGAAAGCAAUAACACGGACGAAGGCGAUAAUACUUGUAUGUACUUUGCGUUCGAAAUAUUUUAUAUAUCGUUUAUGGUAUUCGUGCUUUUUUCUCAUUUUUUCGUCGCAUUGUACUUGUUUGUGGCUUAUGGCAAUUAAAAACGGUAUAUGUACAUUUUUCGGGUAUCUUGCUUUACCCAGACUCGAUUAAAAAACAGCGAUCGAUUUUUUACCCAAAGGAGAAACCAAGCAUUUCAUCACCGAACGAAUUCACAGCGCUCAAGCUAUCAACAAAACGUAUAUAUUGAAAAUAGAUUUACUAUCUGGGAUAGAGACAAGCAAGCAGUUUGUGACGGCUACAUGGAAGGUUUAAACCCCGAAUCUACGGAAACGGACAUCAAUGUAUUGUUUAGCGACGGAGUAGCGGUAAAGUACGAACGUCGUGCAUACUAGCUACAAUUCCACAAAACAUCGUUGCUACUACUCACACAAUGAGUAGGCAACUUACACUUAUUAUUCGAUUAGAUCCUCCAGAGGUCAUUUCUACCGUAACUUUAUCAUUAAUAAUGUGCCCAAAAAUGUGAAUUCGACUUGAAAAAAAAAAACCACAGUCCCAUCCAAACAAUUUUUAAAAAUGAAACAUCAUUACUUUCAACUUCUGUAAUAACUUGCCUUGAAAAAUUAAAAUGAACUCAAAAGUACCUACUUUAUUUAUUAGAGUUCCUUAACCACUUUAUUAUGAAAAUUUACCCAAACUAAUAUUACCAAACACAAUGUGAAUUUUUUCUGUAUUAAAAAUAGUUUAGGUAUAGUUGUGUUUUAAUUAUAAAAUAAAAGUUUCCCUUUUAUGAUACCGGUAUUGUAUGUAUGUACCAGUAGGUAGGUCCCACUCCCAUACCACUGUGUAAUACCGGUUAAAUUAAGAUAUGAACUAAGUAUGUGUUUUAUAAAUAUUUUAUUUAUGUAUUGAACUACGUAUCGCGAUUCCAGUACUGUACCUUGAGGCAGGGCCGCACACUGAUAUCAAUACCAAAAUACAUACCAAUACCGGCAUUACCUACAAAUUUUGAAAAAAAAAAUUAGAAAUGCCUACCUACCAUUUUACCAAUACCGAUUCGCAGACAAACGAAGUACAUAUGUACCUACCUACUGAUAUAAAAUACUGAUGAAAGUUUUUGAAACUGUAUUAAUACCAAAAUAAUUUUCAAUGGUAUAUUUUGGUUACACUAAAAACUGGCUAAUACAUAUAGAUGGAAGUAUAUUAGUCCAGUAGAAUUAGCAAAAAAACAGGCUCUAUAGUGAAUCUGUAGGUGGCAAGCUGAUUUUUGGUAUACUGGUCCAUUUUGAUGCCCUGAAAACGAAUCUGAGGAGUCCCCUACUGUCCCGGGUGUGCUUUACCCCAAAUUGUGGAUCUUAGCCCCCCAAAAUCGGUUUUUGACCAAUUCAUCGAAAAAUAUUGACUCUAGCGCAAAAAUUGUUGAUGGAUGUUGUUCUACGUCAAAUUUCCCAUCAG
Molecule: long non-coding RNA, 1601 nt
Organism: Planococcus citri (citrus mealybug)
Lineage: Eukaryota; Metazoa; Arthropoda; Insecta; Hemiptera; Pseudococcidae
Exons: 3
Source: RefSeq, a predicted model, not a curated record